Molecule: long non-coding RNA, 1160 nt
Filed under: Homo sapiens (human)
Lineage: Eukaryota; Metazoa; Chordata; Mammalia; Primates; Hominidae
Description: HSALNT0376729
Source: RNAcentral
CUUUGCUCAUUAGAAGCAGGGAGCUCUCUUCUUCUUCCCCUGGAUCCUUCCUUUAAAAUAGUUUCUUUUGUCUUAAGUUUUCAUUUCUACGUUUGUCCCUUCAUUCAGUCUCUUAAAUGACGGUCUCAAGCAGUAACAGUAGUAAUUGCUGUAAUGACGGUCUCAAGUAGUAACCAGGGCACUCUGCCACAAGUGGCACCUGAACAGGGACUAACAGGGACUAUCAAGAACAAACGGAGACCUGAAGAGACCUGAAGGGAACUGAAGAGGUCUGCAGGGACAAAUAGAGAUAAGUAGGGAUAAAUAGAGAUAAAUAGAGACAAAUAGAGAUAGGUAAGGAAUGACAGGGACUUGCAGGAAGUAACAGGGACCAUAGGGACAGAUAGGGAUAGAUAAAGACUAGCAAAGACUAGCCGAGAUUAGCAAAGACCAGCAAGGACUAGCAGAGACUAGCAAAGACUAGCAGAAACUUGCAGGGACAGGCAGAGACAGAUAGGGACAGAUAGGGUCCUACAGGGACUUGAACGAGGAAGAUCUGCUGGAAAAGAAAAGAACUACAACCAACCAGAUGAACAAGAAACCCUGUUACAAGUCUGCUGGCAGCAACAUAAGGGUAUGCUUGUUUUUGCAGGAAAUGAACAAAAAGUGUGGGUGCCCCCAAGGUGUGUACUACCAUGGAAUGGGAGAUUGGAGGGACACAUGGAUCCCAACCGUGGGCCUGGUUCCCCCAGUAUGAGCUGAAUACGAAGACAGAACAAACCACCAACCGGCAAUUGAAGGAUGAUGCCCAUUCUAUUUCCUAGGAAGGGAUAAGUUUUAAGGCCUUAUAAAAAGUGACACAAAGUGAACCGGGUUCUAUAAAUUACCAUGGAAAGUGGUGAGCCAACGAUUUGGCAGAACAAAACCCUGAGGAUAUGCAAACAAAAGGGACUAUGGAAUUUGCAAUUGCAGAUUAAAAUUGAAGAAGAAAACAUUUGAGUUGCAAAUACCGUAUUAAAAGUGGACACUGCUUAUGACUGCUGUAUGCAACAGUUUUUCAGGCCCGAGAGGAACCCAGACAUGCUCUAUUUGCAAACCGACUGCAUGAAACAAAAAGCACGGUAAUUCUGAAGCUGUUGGCUUGGAUGAAAUGAGAAUGUAAUUAAAAAGAAAAAGGUUAG